Molecule: ribosomal RNA, 449 nt
Filed under: uncultured bacterium
Lineage: Bacteria
Description: partial 16S ribosomal RNA
Rfam family: Bacterial small subunit ribosomal RNA
Source: RNAcentral
AACGAACGCUGGCGGCAGGCUUAACACAUGCGAGUCGAGCGAGACCUUCGGGUCUAGCGGCGGACGGGUGAGUAACGCGUGGGAACGUGCCCUUCUCUACGGAAUAGCCCCGGGAAACUGGGAGUAAUACCGUAUACGCCCUUUGGGGGAAAGAUUUAUCGGAGAAGGAUCGGCCCGCGUUGGAUUAGGUAGUUGGUGGGGUAAUGGCCCACCAAGCCGACGAUCCAUAGCUGGUUUGAGAGGAUGAUCAGCCACACUGGGACUGAGACACGGCCCAGACUCCUACGGGAGGCAGCAGUGGGGAAUCUUAGACAAUGGGGGCAACCCUGAUCUAGCCAUGCCGCGUGAGUGAUGAAGGCCUUAGGGUUGUAAAGCUCUUUCAGCUGGGAAGAUAAUGACGGUACCAGCAGAAGAAGCCCCGGCUAACUCCGUGCCAGCAACCGCCGUAA